This is a long non-coding RNA of Amphimedon queenslandica, 298 nucleotides long. RefSeq lists it as uncharacterized. The transcript is spliced from 2 exons. Lineage: Eukaryota; Metazoa; Porifera; Demospongiae; Haplosclerida; Niphatidae. The record is from RefSeq and is a predicted model, not a curated record.
AGAAUAGGGUGGAUUUGAAAAGAGACAUGAUCCUGUACAUACUGAGUUGGAAUGUGGCAGCAGCUCCUCUGAUAUUACCAUUGUAGACAAGAAUACCAACACAGACACUAUAAGAUGACAGACAAGAGUACUAUUACUGCUUUGUUAUGUUUAGCGGUAUCAGGGAAAGUCAGUAUUUAACUAUUAUAAUGACAUUUAUUUUUGAUUGUCAUGAUUAUAGGGUACUAUACAACAGAGAAUGAUAACGAUGAAUUAUAUUCUGAAAGAGUGAAGGUGUUGAUGAAACUUCGUAAAUAUA